GACGAACGCUGGCGGCGUGCUUAACACAUGCAAGUCGAACGGAAAGGCCCUGCUUUUGUGGGGUGCUCGAGUGGCGAACGGGUGUGUAACACGUGAGUAACCUGCCCUUGACUUUGGGAUAACUUCAGGAAACUGGGGCUAAUACCGGAUAGGAGCUCCUGCUGCAUGGUGUGGUUUGGAAAGUUUCGGCGGUUGGGGAUGGACUCGCGGCUUAUCAGCUUGUUGGGGGGGUAGUGGCUUACCAAGGCUUUGACGGGUAGCCGGCCUGAGAGGGGAGCCGGCCACAUUGGGCCUGAGAUACGGCCCAGACUCGAACGGUAGGCAGCGGUGGGGAGUAUUGCACAAUGGGCGGACGCCUGAUGUAGCAACGCCGCGUGCGGGAAGAAGUGCUUCGGGUUGUAAACCGCUGUCGCCUGUGACGAAGCGUGAGUGACGGUACUGGGUAAAGAAGCACCGGCUAACUACGUG
RNAcentral lists this ribosomal RNA (468 nucleotides) under uncultured bacterium. Its description in RNAcentral is "partial 16S ribosomal RNA". It matches the Rfam family "Bacterial small subunit ribosomal RNA", at positions 28 to 507 of the family's 1533-position model. The record is from RNAcentral.